RNAcentral lists this long non-coding RNA (1391 nucleotides) under Gallus gallus (chicken). RNAcentral's name for it is "lncRNA (ENSGALG00010013929.1)". The record is from RNAcentral. Lineage: Eukaryota; Metazoa; Chordata; Aves; Galliformes; Phasianidae.
CUUUCCUUUUAUCUCCAACUCAGCUCAGUUGGAAAUCCCAAUGGGAAGAUGGUUGAAAGGAGGUUGUAGUAACAUGGGGGUCAGCCUUUCCUCCUAGGUAACAGCAAUAGGGAAUGGCUCAAGUUGCAGCAGGCGAGGUUUGGAUUGGAUAUUAAGAAAAAUUUCUUCACAGGAUGAGUGGUGCUGCAGUGGCACAGGCUGCCCAGGGAGGUGGUGGAGUCACCGUCCCUGGACGUGUUCCAGAGCCGUGUGGAUGUGGCACUGAGGGCAUGGCCAGUGGGCACGGUGGGGAUGGGCUGAUGGUUGGACUCGAUGAUCUUAAAUGUUUUUCCUAUGUUAAUGGUUUUAUGAUUCUACAAGGCAGUAAGUAUUCACCAAUCAGAAGGCAGGAGCUCUCCAGUCCUGGUAGCUUCAGAAAAAUAGGAGUGAGCAGAGAAACAGCUCUUGGUAACUUGCCAUUGCAAAGUGAUGACAUCCCUCCUUCCACUCCCCCUCCCCACCCCUGGGUAUUUUUUUUUUUCCUCCCUCUGCUCAACACAAUCAUGAAUAUUAUUUCUCACCUUAUCUUCAAAAUCACCAAUUCUUAUCUGUGCUAAGAGGAAGGGGAUAAAAGCCAUAUUCAGCCUCAGGAAUACUCUCCCACCCGUCUGCUGUUUCAGUAUGAGUUGAAAAAGGAAGGAUGGGACAGAAUGCAAGAGCUUCAGGGAGGUUUUACCAAGACACACAGGAAAUUCUGUACAGGGUGAGAGUUUACUACAACAAGCUGUCUCCUUUACCUCGUAGUACAGAAAUACUCUUGAGUUUAUCAUGGAAGAUCCUUAUAUUCAUAAUCACUCACAUCCCAUAACCCUCUUUUGCAGGUCUGCAGUCAUUCAAGAUAACUGGUUGUACAAGUCUGAAUGGGAAUAUUGCAAGUAAUUCUGAGGAAUCAGGAAAGAUGGGAAAAGAAAGAGGCCAGAGGCCUGGCAAUACCACACGAAUGCAAACCGUCAGCUGCACCAAACCCUUUUCACUCCUGGAGUCAAAAACAAUGCCCCAUUCUCUUACCUUCCUUUGGUCACAAAGUGGGACAAAGUACCUGCAUUUACCUACGUUUUUCAUGCUGGGGUUGGACUAGCAAAGACAGCUUCUUCAGAAGCCCAUCCAUCAGCUGCCUUCGGUUAGAAAGGAGCCUGAAGCUGAGAAAGAUUCCUUCUAACUGGGGAACAAGAUGACAGGGAAAUGGAGAAGAUGACAAUCUAUCUGAAUAAGAGUGGAGUGGGGAGGCGGAGGAACCAAUAGCCCCCAGAAUCUCACUAAUGAAACGCUCACUCCCACAUUGGCUGAUUUAAGAGUUCCUUAUGCUAAACUGCUUCACCCUCAGUUUGCCUUGCUAUUUCUUUCUAUUUUCU